AUGGAGAAUCAAGAUCCAAACAAGGCAAAUGUCACACCUAGCUGGAAACCUCAACUUGGCAUGAAAUUCGAUAAUUUGGAUGAGGCAUGGGACUUUUGGAGGUACUAUGGAGGAAGAAUGGGAUUCAGUGUUAGAAAGAGGUUUACAACUCGGAGUAAAUUUGAUGGUGUAGUGACUUCAUGCAGAUAUGUAUGUUUCAAAGAGGGGAAGAAGUCUGCAGAUAAAAGAGAUAACCUAACUAAGACAGGCCGAGCUGAAAUUAGAACUGAUUGUGAGGUCCGUAUGUCUCUUACAAUAGACCGUGAAGUCGGAAAUUAUGAAAUAUAUGAUCUUUGUCUUGAACAUAAUCACAUGCUUCAGCUGCCAGAAGCAUGCCACUUGUUGCCAUCACAAAGAAGGAUCUCUAAAGUGCAAGCUUUUGAAAUUGAAAUAGCUGAUGACUCUGGUAUUGCACCAAAAAAUGCUCAUGAAUUUGCUAGUCGACGUGUUGGUGGUUCAGCUGGUUUAACUUAUACACGCGUAGAUCACAAGAACCACUUGCGAACAAAGCGCCAAAGAGAAUUGAAGUAUGGUGAGGCUGGACGUAUGUUGAAGUAUUUUCAAGACAAAGCCAUUGAGAAUCCUUCCUUUCAAUUUGUGUACAGUUGGACAGUGAGGAACAAAUAA
This 666-nucleotide ribosomal RNA is filed under the name Triticum aestivum (bread wheat). RNAcentral's name for it is "partial small subunit ribosomal RNA". Lineage: Eukaryota; Viridiplantae; Streptophyta; Magnoliopsida; Poales; Poaceae. The record is from RNAcentral.